RNAcentral lists this long non-coding RNA (647 nucleotides) under Lepisosteus oculatus (spotted gar). RNAcentral describes it as "lncRNA (ENSLOCG00000022655.1)". The record is from RNAcentral. Lineage: Eukaryota; Metazoa; Chordata; Actinopteri; Semionotiformes; Lepisosteidae.
CUCGUCACAGCAAACAUUCAUUUAGGAAAGUAUUGCCGUCUGAAAUUGUACUUUAAACAAAGGAUGAGUAGUCCUUCAUAAUGAAGAGCCUGGCAGUAUACUUCUUGAUUGCAGUUUUCAUUGGAAACACUCUUGCAAUACCAGUGCAGAAACGAGAAACUAGCUAUGUCAGGGAGGCUGAAGAACCAUUCUAUGCCAUUGAACUUCCAAAAAGGCAUACUGCGCUUUUUGAUGAUUAUGGCCAGAAACCUGUGGCACCACACCUGCAGCUGCCAGAGGCACACAGGCAAUAUCCAAACCUUCAAUCUGUAGGCCUGAGCGAAAGAGAUGAGCUCGAGCUGGAAGAUUAUUACUAGCCACUAACUCGAAUAAAAGCUGAAGUAACUCAGAAGUAUAGAGAUUGUAAUGGAGUGAUUAUUAUUGCAACUCAAACCAAAAGCUAAGGAAUAACUUCUAAUGAGUGUCUGGUUUCUUUGUGUUGUCACAUGCCCUAAAAGAAUGUUCACAUAGAUUCAUAAGAGCAUAAUCAUGUUUGCAAACCUGAGGAAGCUCUUCCUCCUAUUUACAGCAGCUUUUUGGUCAUGAGAUGCUAAUUAAUCGAAGUAUCUCCUUGAGAGAAACACGGGUAAUUCUUAUUUCAUAUGUUU